This 492-nucleotide ribosomal RNA is filed under the name uncultured bacterium. RNAcentral describes it as "partial 16S ribosomal RNA". It matches the Rfam family "Bacterial small subunit ribosomal RNA", at positions 29 to 507 of the family's 1533-position model. The record is from RNAcentral.
AGUGAACGCUGGCGGUAGGCCUAACACAUGCAAGUCGAACGGCAGCACAGUAAGAGCUUGCUCUUACGGGUGGCGAGUGGCGGACGGGUGAGGAAUACAUCGGAAUCUACUUUUUCGUGGGGGAUAACGUAGGGAAACUUACGCUAAUACCGCAUACGACCUACGGGUGAAAUCAGGGGAUCUUCGGACCUUGCGCGAUUGAAUGAGCCGAUGUCGGAUUAGCUAGUUGGCGGGGUAAAGGCCCACCAAGGCGACGAUCCGUAGCUGGUCUGAGAGGAUGAUCGGCCACACUGGAACUGAGACACGGUCCAGACUCCUACGGGAGGCAGCAGUGGGGAAUAUUGGACAAUGGGCGCAAGCCUGAUCCAGCCAUACCGCGUGAGUGAAGAAGACCUUCGGAUUGUAAAGCCCUUUUGUUGGGGAAGAAAAGCAGCAGGUUAAUACCCCGCUGUUCUGACGGUACCCAAAGAAUAAGCACCGGCUAACUUCGUG